UACGAAGGGGGCUAGCGUUGUUCGGAAUCACUGGGCGUAAAGGGCGCGUAGGCGGACUCUUAAGUCGGAGGUGAAAUCCUGUGGCUCAACCACAGAACUGCCUUUGAUACUGGGAGCCUCGAGUUCGAGAGAGGUUGGUGGAACUGCGAGUGUAGAGGUGAAAUUCGUAGAUAUUCGCAAGAACACCGGUGGCGAAGGCGGCCAACUGGCUCGAUACUGACGCUGAGGUGCGAAAGCGUGGGGAG
This 245-nucleotide ribosomal RNA is filed under the name uncultured bacterium. Its description in RNAcentral is "partial 16S ribosomal RNA". It matches the Rfam family "Bacterial small subunit ribosomal RNA", at positions 524 to 768 of the family's 1533-position model. The record is from RNAcentral.